RNAcentral lists this long non-coding RNA (914 nucleotides) under Parus major (Great Tit). Its description in RNAcentral is "lncRNA (ENSPMJG00000019419.1)". Lineage: Eukaryota; Metazoa; Chordata; Aves; Passeriformes; Paridae. The record is from RNAcentral.
ACACCGCUGCCUUCUAACACGGACGUUCUCCAGCCUGCAUCAGUCAUCAUAGGACACAGCUCUUUUCAUACCAUCUUCCCAACACAGCGCUGAGGCUCCUGUGGAAUUGCCCUCUGUCUGUCAGCGUUCCUACCUGUGCCUGUGGUCAGUGCUGAUACUCAGGUUUCACAUCAACCAGGAAUGGUACAAGCUUGGCCAGGGACUCCAGGCAGUGGCUGCUGGGUUCUGCAAGGCCUAGGGGCAGGAGCACUGUGGCUUCCCAGGAAUAUCACAAGCAAAUAGUUGUCAGCAAGCCCCAGGUGCACACAGAAUCAAUCUGGAGCUGAAAACAUCCCCGUAGGAAGCGUACACAUCCCUGCUUAUACAGGAACAGAAACAGCAAUAACUUCAGGUCCUGUAAGCUGCAAGUUCAACUCACAGAGAUCAGCCCUGACUUGUCAUCGCUCUCAGCAUGUUGGUGAUGAGAUCAGAGCACUUCACCAAGGACUCAUACUUCCAGCUUGACAAGGGACAGAGGUGAGCGUGUUACACCUCACUGUUACUCCCCUGCAACUGCAGAAACGAACCCAGAGCUCCUCUGUUUAACAUGCAGCCACAGCACUGCCAAUCUAAAAUGGCUGAUCAGUAAUACUUUAAUUGCAGUUUCAUAGAAACAAAUUGCUAUUUAAUUGCAAUAAGCUUGUCUGUGGCUUAGCUGGACUGACAAUAGGCAUACACCUGGUAGUAAGAGUAACAAGCAUCAAGGGUUAUCUGGUACUGCAUGUACAGGAGUCUUAGACAGUGCCAUCAAACCCAGAACACAAUUUCAAACUAAUUAAAUGUAUAACUUUAAAAAAUGUAUAUACAUAAAUUUCCUAAUCUCAAUUUAAUUUUGUAAUAGAACCGUUCAGAAUAAAUACUUGGAAAAAGCUACA